AUUUCUAUUGGAGCUUCGACAUGGAAUACGUAAUUGUGUUUACUAUAUGCCUUGCAGAGUUGAGGCAUGCUCCUCUGCCUAUGAAAGCAGAGAUCUAAAACCAGACGUGGUAUUUCCAGUAGAUCUGGCCAACAGAUCCCUUGGGUGGUUACAAUGCACUGAGAAACUGGGAGCAGAAGAAAGACGCCAUCAUUGAAAAUAUUGUCUCUCCCAAAUUUCCAAGACAACAACUGUGACUUAAGGACUCCUUCUACCACUGUAUCAUCUUUGUUCUUUUGGUACUAAAAUACAGAUUUUUCAAUAG
Long non-coding RNA from Mastomys coucha (southern multimammate mouse), 304 nucleotides. RefSeq lists it as uncharacterized. Lineage: Eukaryota; Metazoa; Chordata; Mammalia; Rodentia; Muridae. The transcript has 2 exons. The record is from RefSeq and is a predicted model, not a curated record.